CUGAGCUGGCGCCCCCACCGGCCGAACCCGCCGGCGCCAUAAUAUCCUGUAUGCGUGGGAUGGGUUGCCUGUCUGAAAUGGUCUUCAAAUUUAGUUGUCUAUAGUCAACACAAAGUCUGAGGGAGCUGUCCUUUGUCCUUGUGCACACAUCUGGUGAGGAAUAGUUGGAUGAAGAUUUCUGGAUCAAUCCCCGAUUGAGGAGAUCUGUCAGGUCAUCUUUCACCUUGCGGUACAAAGGGUACUGAUGACAAGCAUGAGCUGAGUAGCGAGAUAACUCUGGCAGAUGUCUUGCAAAGAGAGUAUGGGCAGUUGAGGGAAAGCUGGUUGGAAGAGCAUUGGUGGGGACAGGACUCAGGAUCUGAAGAUAGCCUGUUGACAAAGCAACAGAUCUGGAGGACCUGUUGUACAAAUAUGGCUAUGUAAUAGAUGUAUUUGUUCUCCAUUAAAUUUUCUUGUAUUCAUUAAUGAAUUGGCAGCUAAAUUUCACUCCUUUACCAUGAGUUUACUUGUAAUGGCAGUUAAUUCUGGUGCACAAAUUACUGCGAGUAUUUCAGUCAGCAGAGGACAUCUUAAUAACUUAAGGUUAUUGUGCAUUUAAUUCUUGUAUAAAAGCAUGAACAGUUAUCUCAAAAAAGCCUGAAAAGUGGCUUACUUUUGAAACCACCUUGUCCUCCGUGAACAUAGAGCUCUCUGAUAGAGAUAAACUAAACACAAUUAAGCAAUGAAUUUUUUCACUGAUGUGAAGCAUUUUGUCAAGAAUAAGUCAUGUAUUCACGCACAUGGUUAUUUAAUAAAAUUUGUAUGUGCUGCAGCUUC
Molecule: long non-coding RNA, 816 nt
Organism: Acanthaster planci (crown-of-thorns starfish)
Lineage: Eukaryota; Metazoa; Echinodermata; Asteroidea; Valvatida; Acanthasteridae
Source: RefSeq, a predicted model, not a curated record